CCAGAGUAAACUAGGCGUUUCGUCUUGGUGACUGUAACCCUGGGUUAAGGAGCCAUUUGGCACCUACUGUAGCUUAUAUACAUCUCUGAGUUUCUGAUAUAUAUAAGCUACAGUAGGUGCCAAAUGGCUCCUUAAACCAGGGUUACAGUCACCAAAACGAAACUGCCUAGUUGCCAUUUU
This is a non-coding RNA of Podarcis lilfordi (Lilford's wall lizard), 180 nucleotides long. Lineage: Eukaryota; Metazoa; Chordata; Lepidosauria; Squamata; Lacertidae. The record is from the annotation of a GenBank genome assembly.